UGGGGAAUAUUGGACAAUGGGGGCAACCCUGAUCCAGCAAUGCCGCGUGGGUGAAGAAGGUCUUCGGAUUGUAAAGCCCUUUCGGCGGGGACGAUGAUGACGGUACCCGCAGAAGAAGCCCCGGCUAACUUCGUGCCAGCAGCCGCGGUAAUACGAAGGGGGCUAGCGUUGCUCGGAAUUACUGGGCGUAAAGGGCGCGUAGGCGGCUCUGUUAGUCAGGCGUGAAAGCCCUGGGCUCAACCUGGGGACUGCGCUUGAUACGGCGGGGCUUGAGGGCAGGAGAGGCUCGCGGAAUUCCCAGUGUAGAGGUGAAAUUCGUAGAUAUUGGGAAGAACACCGGUGGCGAAGGCGGCGAGCUGGCCUGUUACUGACGCUGAGGCGCGACAGCGUGGGGAGCAAACAGGAUUAGAUACCCUGGUAGUCCACGCCGUAAACGAUGUGCGCUGGAUGUUGGGUGGCCUAGCCACUCAGUGUCGUAGCCAACGCGGUAAGCGCACCGCCUGGGGAGUACGGCCGC
RNAcentral lists this ribosomal RNA (517 nucleotides) under uncultured bacterium. Its description in RNAcentral is "bacterial SSU rRNA". It matches the Rfam family "Bacterial small subunit ribosomal RNA", at positions 355 to 889 of the family's 1533-position model. The record is from RNAcentral.